UCAGUUCUCCUAUGAAAGCUAAGAAUAUAGCACAGGGUUCAAUUUCCAUCACCCGAAGUAAUCCCUCCGCUUAUUUUCAUUCCAUACCAAGGACUGGGGUCUUAGUUCCAGGUAAUACCAAAAUCUGACGCCUCUGAAAUUCAUUUCACUUUCCGGCAAAUUUCCAUACCCAUUUCCGCGCGCCUGUUCAGGGCUCGGGAUCUUCACACAAGUUAUCAGUGGCAUUGCUGAAACUUGGAAUUAAUGGAUGUCGAUGGAGGAGGCGUCUCAGCAGUUGCAACAGAAGAACGAACAAUUCCUAUACAUUCUGGGAGAAAUGAAGCUUUCUAUCAGUUUACACAGCAGAAGCUCCCAGCUUGUAAACCAGUCCUAACACCAGCUUGGGUCAUUUCUAUAUUUCUAUUGAUGGGUACCAUAUUCAUUCCUAUUGGCCUUGUUACUCUUCAUGCUUCCCAAAGUGUUGUUGAAGUUGUGGACAGAUAUGAUAUUGAAUGCAUACCGGAAGCAUUUAAAAGCAAUAAGCUGGGGUAUAUCAAAGACAGCUCAAUUCCCAAAAACUGUUCUCGCUUCUUAAAGGUGUACAAACGAAUGAAAGCCCCAAUUUACAUCUACUAUCAGCUUGAUAACUACUAUCAAAACCACCGAAGGUAUGUCAAAAGUAGAAAUGAUCAGCAGCUCUUGCAUGGACUAAAGUACAAUGAUACAAGUUCCUGUAAACCUGAGCAGACCAAUAAUGGUCUUCCAAUUGUCCCGUGUGGAUUGAUAGCUUGGAGUUUGUUUAAUGAUACAUAUAAAUUUAUUCGUGGGGCAUCUGAGUUGAAGGUCAACAGAAAGAACAUAGCAUGGAAGAGUGACCGUGAUCACAAAUUUGGGAAGCAUGUAUAUCCCUUUAAUUUCCAAAAUGGGACCUUGAUUGGUGGUGGAAAGUUAGAUCCAAGAAUUCGUCUAAGUGAUCAAGAAGAUCUUAUAGUAUGGAUGCGCACUGCUGCUCUCCCUAGCUUCAGGAAGUUGUAUGGUAGAAUUGAAGAGGAUUUAAAUGCAGAUGAUGUUAUAGUAGUCAACCUAAUGAACAAUUACAACACCUACAGUUUUGGUGGGAAAAAGAAGCUUGUACUUUCAACAUCGAGCUGGUUAGGAGGGAAGAAUGACUUCCUUGGGGUUGCCUACAUUUCUGUUGGUUCUUCUUGUAUAUUUGUCUGCUUUGUUUUCAUACUGCUUCAUAUGAAAUAUCCAAGGUAAUAUCUCAGUAAAUACAUAUCAUAACUUGCUGUCUCAGCAUAUUCAUCCUCCUCUUCAUCUGUAACAUAAUGCCUUGCAUUCUAACAACUAGAGCUCAAUUCUUUCGAUAAGUUGUUAACUACUUGAAUUCUUUCAAAACCCACAUGCUUGCACAUGGCCAUUCAUUCUAACCGACUAACAUGCUUUCGGUUUUCAUAUCUCAGACGCUUACUUUGUAAUAUGGAAAUUUAGUGUUAUGCUAUAUGUGACGCCUCAUCCUACUCCCAUCCCACGAUGUUGAUGUGAUACUAUCCAUCAGCUUGGAUCGGCUCUUGUUUAAAAAUUAAAAAAAUAAAUAAAUAACUCGAAGGCUGAUGGAUAGUACCACAUCAGCAUAGUGGUAUGAGGGUAUAGUUUUUAGCAUUUCUCUUACAUUUAUUGCUACACUUUUGUUGUUACGGUCACCUUUUUAAUCUAACAGGUUUCAUUUCUAUCACUACUAUACAAUUGGUCGCCAUAUGUAUAGGGAAUGUGUGGUAUGUUAUACAGAAUGUUUGCCAUAUAUAUGGCCAUGAGUUUGGGCCUUAACCUUAUCCUCUGUAAAUGAAGAUUUGUUUAGUAAAUGAAAUUUAUUAAUAGAUUGGCCGUUCAUAGUGAUGCACUGAUGAAGAUGAAGAAAUUAAAAGCCAAACAUUUGUCUUAAGGCCUUAUGGGGGACACAACUUAUUUAUCUUGGAACAAGAGAGGAAAUUGUAGUUGAAAAGCUGAUGCUGAAUUAGGCAGAUCAAGGAUUUGAAUUUUUCACGAAACAGGCCACACACAUUGGAUCCUAUUACUUGAAGUCUGCUCAUUGAAGUUGUACAUUCCUGGUGUAAAGAUAUAUGGAGCUCUUUGGACAUGCAGCAGACACCUUAACAAUUCGGAAACUUGAUAGUCGGUUUUAAGGUGUUCUAGUUUUUGCAAGUUACCUAUCUUCCCUUUGUUACUAUGACAUUUAUGAUUAUAAUCAUUUACAUAGAGAGGAUUGGUCAUCAAUGGAUGAUGACUUUGAACAUCAUAUGUUUGCAUUGAUUUUGAAAGACCGUGGCUGAAUCUGAGAGUGUAUACCGAUGUACUGAUUGUCAAAAUUGGAUAUCCGUUGAAUCUGAAGAUUAUGUGAUAGUGUCCCAAUUACA
Juglans microcarpa x Juglans regia is the source of this 2393-nucleotide RNA transcript. It is a transcript of the gene named putative ALA-interacting subunit 2, with no coding region annotated. The transcript has 9 exons. NCBI's taxonomy places the organism in Eukaryota, Viridiplantae, Streptophyta, Magnoliopsida, Fagales, Juglandaceae. The record is from RefSeq and is a predicted model, not a curated record.